Molecule: microRNA precursor, 101 nt
Filed under: Marmota monax (woodchuck)
Lineage: Eukaryota; Metazoa; Chordata; Mammalia; Rodentia; Sciuridae
Source: RNAcentral
AGGGGAAUCGCUGGGUCAAAUGGUGGCUCCAUUCCCAGCUUUCCAAGAAAUCUCUACUGCUUUCCAAAUUGGCUGCACCAAUUUGCAGUCCCACCAGCAAU